CCUACGGGUGGCUGCAGUGGGGAAUAUUGGACAAUGGGCGAAAGCCUGAUCCAGCCAUGCCGCGUGAGUGAUGAAGGCUCUAGGGUUGUAAAGCUCUUUCGCCGAUGAAGAUAAUGACGGUAGUCGGAGAAGAAGCCCCGGCUAACUUCGUGCCAGCAGCCGCGGUAAUACGAAGGGGGCUAGCGUUGUUCGGAAUUACUGGGCGUAAAGCGCACGUAGGCUGUGUCGCAAGUCAGGGGUGAAAUCCCAGAGCUUAACUCUGGAACUGCCUUUGA
This 275-nucleotide ribosomal RNA is filed under the name uncultured bacterium. Its description in RNAcentral is "partial 16S ribosomal RNA". It matches the Rfam family "Bacterial small subunit ribosomal RNA", at positions 338 to 630 of the family's 1533-position model. The record is from RNAcentral.